This 216-nucleotide ribosomal RNA is filed under the name uncultured bacterium. Its description in RNAcentral is "partial 16S ribosomal RNA". It matches the Rfam family "Bacterial small subunit ribosomal RNA", at positions 118 to 351 of the family's 1533-position model. The record is from RNAcentral.
UGGAUAUCGGCCUUUUGGUUCGGAAUAACCCCGGGAAACUGGGGCUAAUACCGGAUGGUUCCUUCGGGAUAAAGAUUUAUCGCCAAAAGAUGAGUCCGCGUACGAUUAGCUAGUUGGUGAGGUAAUGGCUCACCAAGGCGACGACGGGUAGCCGGCCUGAGAGGGCGACCGGCCACACUGGGACUGAGACACGGCCCAGACUCCUACGGGAGGCAG